RNAcentral lists this ribosomal RNA (491 nucleotides) under uncultured bacterium. RNAcentral describes it as "partial 16S ribosomal RNA". It matches the Rfam family "Bacterial small subunit ribosomal RNA", at positions 29 to 507 of the family's 1533-position model. The record is from RNAcentral.
GUGAACGCUGGCGGUAGGCCUAACCCCUGCAAGUCGAACGGCAGCACAGUAAGAGCUUGCUCUUACGGGUGGCGAGUGGCGGGCGGGUGAGGAAUACAUCGGAAUCUACUUUUUCGUGGGGGAUAACGUAGGGAAACUUACGCUAAUACCGCAUACGACCUACGGGUGAAAGCAGGGGAUCUUCGGACCUUGCGCGAUUGAAUGAGCCGAUGUCGGAUUAGCUAGUUGGCGGGGUAAAGGCCCACCAAGGCGACGAUCCGUAGCUGGUCUGAGAGGAUGAUCAGCCACACUGGAACUGAGACACGGUCCAGACUCCUACGGGAGGCAGCAGUGGGGAAUAUUGGACAAUGGGCGCAAGCCUGAUCCAGCCAUACCGCGUGGGUGAAGAAGGCCUUCGGGUUGUAAAGCCCUUUUGUUGGGAAAGAAAAGCAGCAGGUUAAUACCCCGCUGUUCUGACGGUACCCAAAGAAUAAGCACCGGCUAACUUCGUG